GACGAACGCUGGCGGCGUGCUUAACACAUGCAAGUCGAGCGGUAAGGCCCCUUCUUUGGUACACUAGCGUCUAACGGUUUAGUAACACUUUAUCAAUCUGCCCAUCACAUCUUGAUAACUCCGUCAUACCGAAGCUAAUACCUAAUACGACCACCUCCGUCAUCGGUUGUUUUUUGUAAUUUCCGGCGGUGAUGGAUGAUCUCGCGGCCUAUCAGCUUGUUUGUUGGGUAACGGCCCACCAAGGCUUCGACGGGUAGCCGGCCUGUGAGGGUGACCGGCCACACUGGGACUGAGAGACGGCCCAGAAUCCUACGGGAGGCAGCAGUGGGGAAUAUUGGACAAUGGGCGAAAGCCUGAUCCAGAAACGCAGCGUGAGGGAUGACGGCCUUCGGGUUGUAAACCUCUUUCAGCAGGGACGAAGCGCAAGUGACGGUACCUGAAGAAGAAGCACCGGCCAACUACGUG
Molecule: ribosomal RNA, 465 nt
Filed under: uncultured bacterium
Lineage: Bacteria
Description: partial 16S ribosomal RNA
Rfam family: Bacterial small subunit ribosomal RNA
Source: RNAcentral